Eriocheir sinensis (Chinese mitten crab) is the source of this 75-nucleotide non-coding RNA. NCBI's taxonomy places the organism in Eukaryota, Metazoa, Arthropoda, Malacostraca, Decapoda, Varunidae. The record is from the annotation of a RefSeq genome assembly.
GGGCUCUGUGGCGUAGUGGUUAGCGCGCUUGGCUCAGAACCAAGAGAUCCUGGGUUCGAUUCUCAGGCGUACCCA